This is a long non-coding RNA of Sander lucioperca (pikeperch), 124 nucleotides long. RefSeq lists it as uncharacterized. Lineage: Eukaryota; Metazoa; Chordata; Actinopteri; Perciformes; Percidae. The transcript has 3 exons. The record is from RefSeq and is a predicted model, not a curated record.
CCCGAGGCUAUUUUGCAGAGGCACCGGACACGAUUGUGAUUGGUUUAAAGAAAUGCCAAUAAACCAGAGGAUGUUUUUCAUCCCAUCCCAGAAUUCUGUGUGCACUAGCCACUCUGGCAAUGCG